This is a long non-coding RNA of Tachyglossus aculeatus (Australian echidna), 268 nucleotides long. RefSeq lists it as uncharacterized. The transcript is spliced from 3 exons. NCBI's taxonomy places the organism in Eukaryota, Metazoa, Chordata, Mammalia, Monotremata, Tachyglossidae. The record is from RefSeq and is a predicted model, not a curated record.
GGGUCUUGGUUCGCCCAGUCAGGGGCAGGUUAGCUGGGGAGCUCCCACCUGAGCUUGUCGGCUGCAGAAGACGAGGGAGCAGUAGAACAAGCCGCUGCCCGUGUAUUCACCAGGUUGGGAACAGCAAGAGGAAAUGAUAAUGGAAUGAUGAAGUCAUCGUUCCUUCCACCAUGCAGCUGGUCAGUGUCCCGUUGGGUAAAAGGGUGCCUGUUGGAGACAGAUUUCACCCUGGCCAGAAGAAAAGUCCACAUAGCCCACACCUACUUGC